GCUUGUGCUUCUAUAAUUCAAUUUCAUUUUACUUUCGUAGAUUAAUUAGUCAUUAUAAAUAUUGUGACAAUGCCUUGAGGUAAUGAUAGUUUUCCCCUAAAAACUUUGAGUAAUGGAUUCAAUUGGUAAUAUUCGAAUUAUGUGAUAAAUGUUUAAAAUUGUUUCGGAUGUGAAUAUGAAUAUUUGAACAUUGAUAUUACAAUGAUAUAUGUUAAAAAUGGUGAUUAUGAUGUUAACGGCCCAUUAAACGAUCUUAGAUGUAACUCGAGUAUUG
RNAcentral lists this long non-coding RNA (274 nucleotides) under Gossypium barbadense (sea-island cotton). Its description in RNAcentral is "long non-coding RNA (GBAR_LNC008729)". The record is from RNAcentral. Lineage: Eukaryota; Viridiplantae; Streptophyta; Magnoliopsida; Malvales; Malvaceae.